This 1215-nucleotide long non-coding RNA is filed under the name Cyanistes caeruleus (blue tit). RNAcentral's name for it is "lncRNA (ENSCCEG00000003438.1)". Lineage: Eukaryota; Metazoa; Chordata; Aves; Passeriformes; Paridae. The record is from RNAcentral.
CACUGGCCCACCCACGGCGAGCGGCAGCAGGGCUGGCGUUUUGGGGGGGAAACUCCCGAAAUGGGCAAAUUUGUGUCGGGGAGGGUGUGGCUGGCUUGGGGGGACUACAUGGAGAGGCCACUCUAAAUCCCCCAGGAGCCACCCUGGGGACAGCUCUGUCGAGCUCUGUGUGCUGGCAUUGAGUUGCGGCCACUCCAUUGAUGCCUCUGUGCCUCGGUUUCCCCAACUCGUGUUCACCCUUUCCCUGGGGACAUCUGGGUCCUGGCCAGCUCGUGGCCACCGUGACUCACCCGGGGCUGGCACGGGGACCUGCUGCCAUCCCUGUCCCCCACGGGCCACGGGUGCCAGCAGCUGCCCCCACACUUCGUGCUGGCACAGGAGUUUGUUUCCGCCUCCUUUUGCCUUUUUCCGUGGCUUUUUGGGGUUUUUUUUCAGGAAAAGCCCCAAACCAGGGCUGAACGCAUCAAAGGGCUGGCAGGAGCCCAGGGCAUGGGGAGGGGGAGCUCGGGGGAAGUGCAGCAGGGUCCCCGCCAGCCCACAGCGCCCAAAAUUGGGGUGUCCUUGGGGACACGUGGCCCCGCCGCGUGCCCAGUGCUGCCACGUGAGCCCUGGGAUCUGGCUGGGGGAAACUGAGGCACGGGGCUGUGCACACGCAUGUUCCCAUGCACACGGCUGUGGGGGACACGCGUGUGUGAGGCUGGCAGGGGACAAGUCUUGUCAGACCCGCAAAUCCGUCCGGCUUUGGCUGUGCCUGAGCUUGGGGACAGAGGGCAAUGGGACCAGGGGGACAUGGGGAACGGGGUCUUGGGGACACAGGGCCAUGGGGACAGGGAGAUGUGGGACCGUGGGGACCACAGGACACAGCCCUACAGGCUCCUGGGGACACGGGGUGCUGGGAAAGGGGAGCAGCACAGGAGACGGCAGCCAUAUGGCACCCCUGAGGACAAGGGGACAGCCCAGCUUGUCCCCACUCCCACUCAGCUCCUGCCACCCCCAGAGAGGAGGGACACAGUGACCCUGAGCAGGACUGUGUCCUCCCUGUGCCUCAGUUUCCCUUGGAGCCCUGCAGGGAGGGGGAAGCUGAGGCCAUCCCUGUGAUGAAGCCACUCGGCCUCAGCCACAGAAGGGGGGCCCAGCUCCACUCUCAAUCCUUUUAUUGCUUUUUUUCCAGGGGGGCAGGAGGGGCAGGCAGCUAAAAAAAGAGGGGGGGAACAC